Lutra lutra (Eurasian river otter) is the source of this 1018-nucleotide long non-coding RNA. RefSeq lists it as uncharacterized. The transcript is spliced from 4 exons. Lineage: Eukaryota; Metazoa; Chordata; Mammalia; Carnivora; Mustelidae. The record is from RefSeq and is a predicted model, not a curated record.
UCAGCAUAAAUCCUGGAGUCUAAAUAUAUUCCAUAACUAAUUACUGGCAUAAGUAUCUCUUGACUAUGACAAGCAUCUAAUAGAGCUUCUGAACUGAAUUAUUGAGUCAAUAGAUUUCAUGUACAUGUAAUGAAUGUAUUGUGGUCAUGUGAGCUCUCUAUAACUUGGUUUAACAUUUCUUUCUGACUGAAAUGGACUUCUGGAAAAUGUAACAGUUUUUGCGAUAUCUUAAUGCCGGGAAAAUUUUGAUGUGUAUCAGAUUCAAACUGUAAACAAAGAGAGGCUAGAGGAAUUGAAUAAGAAACUUGAGUUCAAUUAGAUUAAUGAAUAUAAAUGAGAAGUCCGUCCCACUCCUUCCCUUGCAGCCCACUCAUGCAUGUGACUAGCUGAAGAACGCUUCUGAAGUGAAAGCCCAGGAUAAAAUGACUAGAAGCUGAGUAACAAUGAGCAUUGUUGUGGGUGAAACGAUGCCCCCCACAAAUAUAUCCAUGUGAACCCCUAGAACGUGUCCCAGACUCUGUGACCAUAUAAUAUUGAAGAUCAUGUAUCAUAAACGCUGAAAACUUCUAGAACAGUGGAAAUUUGAAGCUAGCAUGUAGCAAAAGAAAGAAUUCUGGGUGUAAACAGUCUCAGACACAUGGAUAUGAAUCUUUGAGUUCAAAAAGGGUAGAGCAUGUCCAUGAAAAAUUGACAGGUGUAUUGACAGGCUGUGGGAGGCCAGGUUCACAUUGGUGAAGGCAUAGGAGAGGAGGUGAGAGACAGGUAGGGACAGACUGGGGACCCAUCAUCAUCCUCACUCAUCAUCCUGUCCUCCCAUGCCAAAUGUUCAAGAUGCCCUUUUAAAUUUCUCAUACACCACAACUUCUAGGGGGCCAACAAUUGAAUGAGUUUUAUAAAUAUUUGACUAAACAAUUCUUAACAUUUGGAGAUUCUAUGAUUUCUCUUCAUCUCAGAAUCUUUCAAAACAUCCUAUAAAACCAUUCUAUGACCAAUGAUGAAAAAUAAAGUAAAACUGAUG